RNAcentral lists this transfer RNA (86 nucleotides) under Maridesulfovibrio gilichinskyi. Its description in RNAcentral is "Desulfovibrio sp. K3S tRNA_Ser_TGA". It matches the Rfam family "tRNA". From Rfam's summary of the family: Transfer RNA (tRNA) molecules are approximately 80 nucleotides in length. Their secondary structure includes four short double-helical elements and three loops (D, anti-codon, and T loops). The record is from RNAcentral. Lineage: Bacteria; Pseudomonadati; Thermodesulfobacteriota; Desulfovibrionia; Desulfovibrionales; Desulfovibrionaceae.
GGAAGGUAGCGUUCAAUGGUGAACAACUGGUCUUGAAAACCGGGCUGCGGUGAUGAGUCGUAGGGGUUCGAUUCCUCUACCUUCCU